Molecule: long non-coding RNA, 12168 nt
Filed under: Selaginella moellendorffii
Lineage: Eukaryota; Viridiplantae; Streptophyta; Lycopodiopsida; Selaginellales; Selaginellaceae
Description: long non-coding RNA (SMOE_LNC002104)
Source: RNAcentral
AUGUCUUCAUCCAUACCAGAAUUGAUGCUCGGAAAGACUUCAGAAGUUGGUUGCACGUACUUGCCCAUCCCCAUCUUUCCUCCAAACUCACCCGCAGAACUUGCCUCCAGCAUGAUAUGAGGUCCAAUAUGAACGGAAGUCUCAGGACCGGAGCUUCGAUUAGCAUGAACUGGCUUGAUAACAAAAUCACCACCCUUCAACAGUAGCCUAUGCACAAGAGGCUCAUAAAGCUUCCCCGACAAAGCCCCCACCCAAGGGCAACUGAAUGUUUCUUUCAGAAAUCCCAACACGAACAAGCUCUGUCAUCAAAGCCUCGCUUGCAAACUGAUAUGUCUUUUCGCUGUGGUCCUCAGUUGCCACGAUGUGCAGAAUGCAGUCACUGACUUUUUCAACGUACCCUCAUGACAAAAUUGUAGCCGCUUUGGACGCACUUGAUCCGAACGACUCAACCACAGCCUUGGCCCUGGCCUUCCCCACUUUCAGCUUUGUUGCACGCAGUACAUACCUAGGAACUCCACCCAAAUAAUCGAAGUUGUCAAGCCCUUCCUUUCUGUCCACCACAUUCAUGUUCCUGUAACUAGUUCGGUAAGGCUCAAAGUCGUCAAGGAAUUUCCCAAUCUCCUCCCUGGACCACACCGACAUAUAAAGCAUGCAACAAAGUCCCCCCUUGCCAAACUCCUGGUAGUUUGUCUUGUUAGAUGAGCAAACCAAAAGAACUCGACACUUGCCAGGUAAAGGCGUCUCCUGCUUCCCAUCUAUCACUAGCCACAUUGACAGAUCGUCCAGCAUUUGGCAUAUAAUUUCGCCAUUCACGUAAUAACCACCUUCAACAUAUCGGCUUCGCAAAUUCAGGAUGUAAACAACCUCGCCAACCUUGUAUAACGCCUUUUCUUGCCCCAUUUGGCCCAGCCUAAUAAUCCAGUGAUAGCCAAAGAACGAUUUCCCUAUCCCUGCAGUGCCUAGGACAAUGAAGGAAGUGAAGUUGUUGAGCCGCUCCUGGAUUUUGGAUUCUAGACUCGCAUAUGCCUUUCGUUUCCAUAGCAGGAAAGGUUUGUCAUAAUUUCGCAGUGCAUCGCUAUCUAAAAUCCAGAAUUUAGAAUCUGGAGUAUCAGUAGCCCUUACAAGGGCCACCACACCAUCUGGUACACCUGAAGAAAGAUACGAAUGCACGGAUCAGACAAGAACUGCUACAAGCAGGCAAAUACCGCUCUGAGCAAACUCUAGUGUGAGGCAGGAAAACUUCAAACGACGGCAAAACAGUCAUCCCAGGGGGAAGAGCUCUAAGCCGAAGAAGACACAGACAGCAUUAAUAGAACGCAAGGGCCCACAUACCAAGCAGAUGGCCAUGAAUUCAAUUACAACCACAAGCCAGACACAAGCACCCAAGACCAAAUCCAACAGCGACGCCAUCAGAAGCAAGACCUUGCGCCCGAUUUCAUGGCGCACCAGGAACACCAAGAACUGGACAAAAAAUGGGUCUUCCAACAUCACACAGAUCAAAGAGAAAACAAGGGGGAAGGGCUUUCACAAUUGCUUACCAGAUCCGCGGAUUCCAUUGGCCUCCUCGUCUCCGCGGCAAAUGCCCAGUUGCGGCAUUCACAGUCUACCAAGGUGUAAUUCCGCGGUUCCCGAUGAGCUCUGAGGGGGGUACCACGGAUGCGCCCUGCGUCAACGUGCUGCGGGAGGACAAACUUCCGAGAAAACAGCUUGGUGAGCGCACCGCGCUCCUUUCUCCAGCGACCCCACCCAUGCUCCUCCUGUGCAACUCCAGCGAGGGGCACUGCAACAUUCAGAACAUAACAAAGUUAGUAUUAGAUCUGGAAGAAAAAACUAUCAAUAGAAAACAUGGCCAGAAUCAAGGGUCUCAACAGCCAUAGCCAUAAACAAGGAUCCACAAGGGAGUAUGCGUCCGCCAGCAGCAUAGCCAAAAGCCACCAUAGCCACACUUCUGGCAACCCAAAAUAAAAGCGCUAGCCGAAAGAUAUCCACGAAACACAGCAAAACGCCGCAAAAAGCUAAAUACACAAAGAAUGACUUACCAUUACUUCUGAGGUGGAGGAGGUUUUCCUCCUUCCGCAGUUGCUCUUUCUUAUUCCGCCCAUAUUCCGCCAAUAUUCCGCCAGAGAUUGAUUGCCACUCUGAAGGGCAGAGAGAAAAGACCCCAGCCGCUUGGAUCUGCGGCUCAAGAAGCCCGAUUUGAGCUUCCACCUUAGCCAAUUCCUAGAGGCAGUGGCGCCCUAGAAUCGUCAGGGACCGCACGAUCUUCAUCCGACGGCCUGGUGUUUUAGACCACUAACUCAAUUAUAAACACAAGAGACAAAAAGCGAAAACUCAACCACACUUUUGUUUGUUUAAGCGGCUUCUAUUUUACAGUUUUGUACGAACUUAUCUAUUGCUUGCUCCUUGGUGGAGUAUGCUAGGGCAGAAUGGAGGUGGAGCGAGUGGUGGUGGACGUGCGGCAUUUGAUCGGGCAAGCGCGCAGCUAUGGCUGUGCCUUGGAGAGCUUGGUGUGCAGGAUCUUGGCCAUGGUACACAAUGUGGGCAUUCACCUUCUUGGAUUCACUCGCGUCUGGGGCGUCGACGAGUAUGCUGGGGAGAGCUGGGACGGCGCUGUUCGCGUCGGCGAGAAACGAGCGUAGCAUCAAGGCAUUCCGGGAUUGUGUGGACAAGCUAUUACUGGGAGAUGCUUAGGAAGAUGACGCUGCUGCUGCUCCUUGCCAUGGCUGGGCAUUCCACAUCGGCCAAAGUAUGACUGAUGUUGUGCGGGAGAAUUUUGAGGACAGAGAGACGUAUUACAAAUGGCUUUUCAAGGAACCUGACGAACGAUUUGAGGCUUUUCUCGAGUACGUGGAGAAAGAGGAGAUUUCUCUGUAUGUGCUAUUAUUAAUAUUGUUUGUCCUAGUUCAUUAUUUAUAUCUUGGUUUGUUUUAUAAUAUCAUUUGAGUGUUUCUAUAAGUGUAUUUAAAAGCAUUGAAUUUCCAGUUAUUGCUUCUCCUGUUAAAAGUAAGCACAAUUGUUUGUUAGGUUGUUUUAUUGUUUUCAAUAUGAAGUCAUCAUGUAUUAUUUUUUGCUUUUUAUUUAGAGUUCUUAAUAAUUGGUGAUAUUUACUAGUUUCCAUAAGGUAUUCAUCUUGUAUUAUAAUUGUUAAAUUUUUUAAUAUUUUAUAUUUUAUAUUUAAAUUUAAGUUUUUUUUAUUUUUCAUUUUGAAUAAAUCUUUCCCUAUAUCAAAUUCAUCUAUUUGGUUUGUGUUUAUUUCUUACAUAUACUGUGCUUGUUCUUUUAAUAUUUUAUUCAAUCAAUCAAUCAAAUUCACUCUCAUUUAUUACUUUUUUAUAUAUGUAUUGAUGUUAUUUUUCAUUUAUUUGUUCCAUAUUUGCUUCAUAUGCAUUCAUAUAUGUUGUAUACAUUUCUUUAAGAUCUUCUUCUUUUCUAAAUUUUUUAUGUAAGAUUAAUCUUUCAAAAGCCCACUUUUCUGGAUCUUUUUCUUUACUAAAGUUUAUAUAUCCAAUUAUAUUAUUUUUUUUUAAAGUUUUCGUGUUGUUACUUCUUUUUCAAUUAUAUAUUCAGUUGUUAUCUCUGCUAAUGUUAAAUCUUCUAAUUCUUCUAGUCUUUGCAUGUAUUUUUCAAUUAGUCUAGGUACUGCCAUGUUUGUUUCAUCUUCUUGCAUUUUUGCAAGGUCUUGUUUUGUUUUUAAACGUUUUGUUCGUUGUUCUUGUGGUUUAGUAUCAAUGAACUUCUUUUGAGCUACUACAGGGUGAAGGAGAGCUCAACAUCGCCAAAGAUGGAUAUCCAGAGCCAAGAACUAAAGCGAACAUUUGAUAUAUAUGUGCCUUCCUAUUUAACUUUCUUCUAAGCUGCUUUGUUUUUCUUUUGUAAGCUAUCCAGUAGGAUCCAGUAGGAGCACGGUCAUUCAGAAGCAAGAGUCUUAGUUUAGUGAACUACAAGCUCCAUGACAAAGAGAUGUGAAAGAGACAAAGACUUUUAAUGACCAUGUCAAUGUCUUUGAAGGUCGCCCUUGAAAGACUUGACUUUAGCAUAAGUAUAAAGUACUUGCAAUGUGAAGUGCCAUCACUAUUAGCAUUUUGUUGAGCUACAGGAUAAUAUGAUUUGAGUAAAAAGGUGCAUAUAAUGAAGUUCUGCCACUAAUGGUAUGCUUUCUAGAUCCUGUCUACUAAACAGCUUCUUCACACUUUCAAAUUCAAGUCCUGGCUCAAAUUUUUGAUUGCCAUAGUGAUUUUGACUAUGGCUUUUCCAACUCUUUUGUCAAGAGCACUACAAGAGCGUACACGGUUUCAAGCAUCUAGUUCAAACAAAUCAACAACAAAGCUGAAUUUUGGAAUUGCUUGUGGUUCAAGCUCUUUCACAUUCAUUUGCUUACAUAUUUAUUACAAGAUGGGGUUUAGCAUCUAGUACAGAAAACAAUACACCACAUUCUUCACCCAGCUUCUCUGAAGUCCUCAAGAAACUCUCUAUCCGGAUGCACAAUGAUCAUUUUCCUGAAUUCUGGUGUUAGGCAUACAAUGUUAACGUGGUAGAUUACCUGAGAGGGGCUUUCAGAGGCAGGUUGUGUUUCUUGCAUAUUAGUUCUUUUGGAAAUUUCAAGUUGUUGUGCAAUGCAAUCAGUAGCAAUCUUGUGAGUCGUUGCCAUAGGAUUGCUAGUUUGUGUGCUUUGAAAUCUAGAAAUUGUUAAAAGAAGCACUGCAAGAUUUCACGAAUAGAUAUUUGUAUUAUAGAGAAAGCAAUUGAAAAAUAGACAAGAAACAAUUGUUUCUAUUUCUGGUUGUUGGCAAUUUCCAUGGCUGAAUUGUAUGGUGUCUCAAAAUGGACAAUAAUAUUUGCGUCAUUCAAUAGAAAGAACCUAUUGGUUUUGAAGACAGAUAAACAGCAAUCUUUUCUGGGGACUCCAUAGCAAACUUGACCAUAGACCCUUCAUCCAAAUUAUAAAUUUUAUCCACCAUUUUAUCAUGCACUGUAACUCUAUAUUCCAUCAUGUCAUUUGAUAUAAUAGAACCAGUUAUUGUAGAUGAUUUAUGAGGGAUGGAAUGCCCUUUACACUUUGCACAAACAACAAAACCAUCUUCUCUCUACAUUGUAAAAGAGUAAAAUGAGCAAAAACUUUCAACUUGAGUGAGGCUUUGUUGGUUGUCAGGGAUGAAAUAUCCACUAAUCUGUAUAAUUAGAAGUUAGAGUUGAAAGUAGAUGUAAGCAAUUUACAUUACCUUGUCUUUAGAAGUGAGACCAUGGUGUGUUUUAUAAACUUCAUUGAGCUUUUGAAUUUCGUUUGAAUCAACUAGUGGCAAAAAUAAAGUACUUCCAAGUGUUGCUAAAUCACCUAACUCAUGCUUUUCAUAAUAUUAAAAAAUAAAAACUUUGGCAUAUAUCCAGCAUAUAAAUCUGCUACAAUAUGAUGAUACUACUCUUCAUGCUCCGGAUGCAUACAGAGCUAUGAAAUUAUCUUAGAAAUAGAAAAUUAAAUAAGAAAAAACAUUACCAUAGUUACGUCCAAAGGAUUAUCAGAAAAAGCAAUCUUUAUUUUAGGAAAAACACUAGUGUUCAUUACAACAGCAUGUAUAUACCUCCAUACAAAUGGCAAUGCAGCCUGAGCGCGAAAUUCAAGGUAUGGGCUAUGGUUCAAUGGAGAAACACCCCUUGAAAGUAAGGAAAAAGAGCUAUGAAAGUAAGUGAAAGAAAGGAAGAAAAAGAAAAAGAAAAAGAAGAGAAGAGGAACGCCUCACUGGAUGAAGCAUUUGAAAUGAGAGUGGUUAUGAGCGUGUGGGAGCUCACAUCCAUCAGCAUCAACUAGCACAUAUGCUCCACUUCCGAUGUGUCACUGGACAAAGUAGGGGCUGGUCCAACAAGGGGAGAACUUCGAAAGUGGCAUAAACUCCUUGAGUAGAACGAGAUCACCAUCUUCAAAUGGUUCGGCAGACUGCUAGUGAUCAAUGACUGACUUGAUCUUCUACUUGCCUCGAAGGAGAUGUUCAGUUGUGGAUUGUUGCUGUUCUUCCAAGGCAAGAACCUCCAAAUUACGUACAUGAAGCUUGUCCUCAUUGCUAAGCUGCAUUGCUGCUAUGUAUCGAAGUGAAAGUGAGAGCGAUAGCACCUGGAUCUCCACUGGAAACAUGGCCUUUGUCCCAUAGACAAGGGAGAAUGGGGUCACGGAGAUGGAUGUCUUGAAGGACGUCUGAAAGGCCCACAAUGUUGUGACUAAGUGCUCGUACCAAUGCUUUGGGUGAUCUUCCACAAGCUUUGAGAUGAUUAUCUUCAAUAUCUUGUUGCUAGACUCAGCCUAGCCAUUGCACUCAGGAUAAUAGCUGCUACUCUUCACAUGCUUGACCUGCAGCCGUUGGAGAAGAUGCUACAUGUGAAAAGUUGGCUGGAACUCUUGAAUGGUCACAAUCCAAGAUAAAGUAUGAGGACUAUGAACCGGUUGCUGUAAAAGAAAGGUCAGCACAUUAAAACAGACAUGGAAAUGGAUACAGGCUCCAGCAAGAAAGUGACAAAAUCACUCCAAGGUGUAAACAAUAGCCACUGCUUCUUUUUCUGCAUCCACGUACUUCUUCUCAGUCUUCUUGAACGAAUGUGAGGCAUAAUAUGUUGCAUGUGGUGGCUUGCCAGGCUGUGAAUAUUGGCAAAGGCAUACUCCAAAAGCCUCUGUAUCCGUCUUGAUGGGAAUUUUGAAAAGAAGUUGUCGUUCUGGUGGUUAGAGUACCGGGGGCUCCAUGGUAGGAAAUUUUGAACUCAAAGAGCUACAACUCACAUGCAGCACGUUCGAUUGGCUUGAUUCUUUCUACCAGUUGUGUGUCUAGAUGUCUUCUUCCAUCUCCAACAAACAGCAUGACAAAAUAUGCUUAAAGUCAUCAGCUACCAUGAUUUUUGUAGGAAGAUGCUGGCUGUGUGACACCUCAGAUAGUUGCUGAGGAGGAUUGAGUUUGGCUGUGUCUUGCAAAAGAUGGACCUGGUCUAGAGUGAUCGUGUCAUCAAGCUCCAUAAGAGAGAGUUGGUCCCAUGCAAGAAACGAAUCAAGGAGCCCUUCCUCUAUUGAGAAACACUCCAAAAAGUUGGAUAUGGGGGCCCAUACUCUAUAAGCCUUGCCAUCAAAUAAAGAGGGCGUGUCUAGAGGCUCGGCCUUACUCUCAAAUAAAGAGAGUGAGGCUAAGAGAUGUCUCAAGCUAUCUGACUCACCUCCAACAAUGUCGAUUACAUUGCAUGAGAAAGCAUCCGUCAUAUAGAUGGUCGAUUCCACCACCAACUCGGGAAAAGCCUCUAUGAGCUCAAGAGGAAAGUAUGGUGUGGAGGCCAUCUUAGUCUGACCCUGCUGGGCUUACUGAGAAAGAGCUUUACCAUGGUUGUUGAGAAAGGUGGCGCUAUGGGUUUCAUCGCUAAUUUCCAUCUUGCCUUGUGCGCUAUCAAUGGUGCAAUGGGCUGUGACUUGCCAUGAGUGGCCAAGGAUGACAGAGUCCUUCAAUGAGGAUGUUCCAAAACAUUGGUAGUCAACCAUGAGGAAGUCUACCUCAAAAAUAACACCCUGCACUAAGACCUUGACACCACAGCAAAUGCCUGCUGGAGGAAUAAUGUGGUUGGCAAAGGUCUUGAGCACGAUGGAGGAGCUCUCAAUGAUCUGUAGCUGUGCUAAAAGGGCAUCUUUGAGAGAGAUAAUGUUGCUUUUAGAACCAGAGUCAACCAAAGCAUCCAUUCUACAAGAGGAAGUAGCAAUCUGCACCGAGACGAAGAAUGGACUAGGAUCUCCACCAUAUCUUGUCAUGUCAGCGAUGUGCACCUCUUGAGGAGUCCUCUUGAGAGUGCUCUCUAGUGUUCCUGACCAUGCAAACUCCUCUAAACGCUGGCCGAAUCCCGGGACAAGACACAACAUAUCUCAGAGCGAAAAGGUGACGGGAGUGUCAACCAAUUGUUGAAGAAUCGGCUCCAGAACAGGAAUAGCUGUUGGUGAGAUCUUAUGAGGAGAAGAGAGUAGUGACUUGAAGGGGAGAUUACAAGCCACCCUCUGUGUCACUGGGCCUGAUGGCAACGGAGAUUCGCUCUCAACUGGCGCCGAGGGAGCUGUGGCAGGCUGAGCGGUUUCCUUCUUCUUCGCUUGGGCUCGAGUGGCUGUGGUUUGCUGCUGUUGGCUAUAGAGUUCCUCGGCUACCAAAAUUGUGUUGACUGAUGAGGCUGGUGCCUUGCCUUUGCUCGAUGAAAGGGCUGCCUCAAUUGCUUGUUGCUCUAACUGCUCCUGAUAUGUCUCUGGACCCCGAGACGAUGUGGAAUUAUCAGCGAAGGGACGUUGUUGGACACGUUGAGAAGGUGGAGGCCAAAGCUUUGGGUGAAGCUUGAAGCAGCGCUGCAUGUUGUGUGUGUUCGUCUCGCAAUGAUUGCACCAACGGGAUUUAAAUCUACAUUCACAAGCUGUAGCAGCCUCUUUCCUAGACUCCACCAGCUCCUGGAGCAGUUUGUCAUGGUGUGAUUGUUGCUAAAGAAUGAUCUCCUUCAGCUGCCGCAUCUCAUUGGCAAAGUUUUCAAUAGCCGGAGGUGUAUGCUCAAUAGCGAUGGGCUUUGUUGUGGAUGGCCGAACAACUGCACAAGGUGACUCUGAUGGGAUGAUGGCUUGGUCGAAAUCAACUAUAGCAAUCCCCAGGUCAACAAGAAGCUCUCUUUCCAGCUUCGAGGCAAACGAAAAUGCCUCGCGACAAGAGCUGAAUGUCUUCUUAAGAACUUUCCAUUGCAAGUUCCCACGCAGACCCGCUGUGAAUGCUGUGAUCCUCUAUUGUUCAUCUUGGACCACUCUGCAAUCCCAACACUGCUUCCAGUAUGCUCGAAAUUGGGUGAUAUAGUCAGGAAUAGACUCGUGAGCACCCUGCCAGAACGAAAAGAGGUCAACAAGUAGUCGAUUUGUGGGUUUUUCUUCAACAAAACAUUCUCUGAAAGAAGCGAGUAGUGUCUGGAAGUCUGUCCGGUCCUUUGGAAGGAGAGAAUCUGCCCAAGUUGCUGCUUUGCCUUCAAGAGACUACAAGAAGUCGUGGCACAUACGAUCAUCAUUGACGAUCAUGUUUGUGGUGCAAAGCGACUGAUAUGCGAUGUUGGAGAGAAUGUUCCAACACCUGAGAAGGUUGGCAGAUCACUCCCCCUCUACAGAACAUGGAGCUGAGGUCGAGCUAAAAGUGCCUGCACCAUAGCUUGUAGAUCUAAGUCAUUGGAAUCUACCAAGGAUGAAGAGGACUCAGCCUGAGAAGGUGUAGUGUCGUACUUAAGCUACCUUUGGAUGUUAGAAAAUUUACUCCGUACCUUAGGGCCUUGAGGUAUAGUGAGAGGGUGCCAAUUUGUCAUACGUUUGGUUUGUACCCGCAUCAAAUACCCUGAACACUGCAAAUGCUUGGUCAAGGCAACUGGGUUGACAGGAGCAAGAAGACUAUAGGCUAGUGCUCAAGUUGCUCAAAGUUGCCCAAAAUUAUUGUGACGAAGAGGAAUAAGGGUCCAAAUGGAAGGAGAUGUAGACCUCAAGCACAUGUAACCGUUGAUCUGUAGGGUAAAUGCCGAAGUAACCACUAGAGUAGCUGCUGGAGUAACUGGGGACCAGUAAACCAGUAACCGGGGACCUGUAACCUAUAACCGGUAACCCCCACUCUCACUCCUACUCCUACGCCUGCUCCUAUCCUUGCACCUGCUCCUACUCCAACUCCUGUUCAUGUUCUUGUUCUUACGCCUACCUGUUCCUUGAAGAUUGCUUUGUUCCCAAGGAACCUCCAACAAAGUUUAGCCCAAAAGAGAAAAAUGAGUCCUUUAGUCUCGAUCCUUCCCCAUUUUGACUGUUGGUGGGCUCAUUGGAAAGGGCUCAACCCCGUCUACCCUCUAUCGCAAGAAUUUUGGGAAAAAGCCUCCUCAAUAUUCUCUGAAAUCCAAGAAGAAGUAGCCCAGAAUGCCAAUAUUGUGGAAAAACAUGUGCAUGUCACUGAUGUAGAUUGAUACUAAGGUGCCGUUGGUAUUUUUGGAAAGCCUAAGACCAGGACCACUUCUAGAAACAAACGGCAUCCAAAACAAAGCCCGGAGGAGCAUGAAUUCUUGCUACAAAGAUGACCCAAUUUAGCCGGAGAAGAAAAUCCUUUUGCAUACUGCCAAUUUGGCCAAAUCUAGCACCAACUCAGCUAUACAACUCAGAACUCUAUCUCUAUCUCAAGACUUUUACCUCGAGUUUUUUAGAGCCCAACAACUCUAUAGCUAUACACUCAUAUAGUGUGUUUUUGAGGAAGUUGCACUUAAAAAGAACAUGGUUAGUGGUAUAUCAACUACUCUUUUCUUUUCUUUGGUUAUGUUGGUAAACUAAAUAUUUUCUAUGCAGCUGAGCUAUGAUGACAAGACAAUACCCAUUCUUUUCAAUAAGAUGUAUUCUUGAGUGGGCAAAUGAGUCCUGCCAUCUAUGGUUCUUUGCGAAACUUCCUAAUGAUUUUAAAUUCUACAACAUCUAUGGCAGUUCUUGCAAAACUCCAUUCCAUGUCUGGUAUGUGUUCGUCAUUCUUGAUAACCAAAUUUUAUUGGCAACUUUUUUCCAUUGUUUCCAGCUACAGGAGCGAAAAAAUGCCUCAUAGUUGAGCUCAGGGUAAUGUGGAGUUCUUUCUUCAUGCUUACUCAAAGAAAAUUUGGACUUUGCAGGCCAAUUUCAAGUAUGUGGAUGGAGAUGGCACGGUACCAUCCAAGUCUUCCAAGGUAGCCCUCUAUUUCUAUCACCCAGUUCUGAACUCUGCUUUCUUCAUAGGAUGUUGGGUUCACUACGACUGUGAGGCAUAGGGUUCCAGGCAACCAUCGCAGUCUACUAAGAUCAAAUGAGGUGUUCCUCCUCCUCAAAGACAUCCUGGAAAUUAAAGAUGAAGAGAAGAAGCUUGUGGUUCACACUGCUUUGCACAAGUCUAAGGAAGUGAUCGAGAAACAAGCACGCUCUUGUCUCAGCGACACAGCCAUCUCCCACAAGAACAGCACAUGGGACACAAACUCUGAGGACACCCAAGACUACAACAGUGGUAGCAAGAGCGAGGACAACACCGAAAACUCAGUAGUGUUCACCAUCAACACUGAGGAUGCUAGAGCUCAAGCUCAUGGUAGAGCCACACACAAAGGAUUCGAGCUCCAUCACCUUAGCAUUUCUGCCACCGACCGGUGUUGCAGAAGGAAGUGAUUGAGAAAAGGCCGCCAUUGCAGUGGAGAAAGCUUUAGCACCAAGCUCAUAACACUGUACAAUAUGUAAAAAUAUGGAAAAAUACCAUUUAAAUUCUGUCAAAGUGAUGUUCAUGUCUUCUUUCCCAAAGUUUAGGCAGCUUCUAGGUUGAGAUAAUUUGCUCCAAUUGAGAAUAAAUAUCAUGCUUCCAUUUGUGGAAGAAAAGAAAAUCUCACCAAAAGUUUUUCCUUUGUUAUCCAACAGGAAAAGAAAAACAAAUGCAAACUAAAAAUCAGAUAACACAAUGAUUAAUAUUCUUAUGCUUUGAAUUUAACAGUUUUAUUUUAAUACUGGCAACGAAACCAUGACACUCAAAUCUCGAAGCUAUAAUACUUGUGACAUAAAACUCUUGGCCAAUGUAUUUGUCUUUUUUGGCUCAGAUUUAAAGUUUUUUGAAAACUUCACCUUGCCAACCCACCUGCUUUUUGCUGGGCAAUUUCUAGUAUUUUAUUAAAAACUUUGAUUUACUGAGAAAUUUAUAUUGUAAGUAUAUAUAUAUAUAAAAAGAAGCUUCAUCGUGCAUCCUCAUAGUCCACUUGAACUACAAACUGCCGCAUCUUCCCAAAUACUGCAUUUCCUCUCCCAUAGUCUCCAUCAUUAUUAUUCUUGUAUUGCUGCCAUCCAGUUCGCGGAAACGUCUCUUUUGGAACACACGACCACAACCUGUAGCUUGGUCUCUUCAAUGCAGCAUCCACCAUUUCUAAGCCACUCGCUUCAAAGCCGUGUUUUCCAUCCACUCUCUUGAAGACCUGAAUGAGAAUGUCUUCAUCCAUACCAGAAUCAAUGCUCGGAAAGACUUCAGAAGUUGGUUGCACGUACUUGCCCAUCCCUAUCUUUCCUCCAAACUCACCCGCAGAACUUGCCUCCAGCAUGAUAUGAGGUCCAAUAUGAACGGAAGUCUCAGGACCGGAGCUUCCAUUAGCGUAAACUGCCUUGAUAACAAAGUCACCACCCUUCAACAGUAG